UGUUAUGGCAGCUGUGCGUGGGAGACCUUUGGGUCUGCCGGUUCAGUAGUUCUCGGUUCGCCAACCUGCGUACAGCUGCCACCUGA
This 86-nucleotide non-coding RNA is filed under the name Pseudomonas psychrophila. Lineage: Bacteria; Pseudomonadati; Pseudomonadota; Gammaproteobacteria; Pseudomonadales; Pseudomonadaceae. The record is from RNAcentral.